AAAUUGAAGAGUUUGAUCAUGGCUCAGAUUGAACGCUGGCGGCAGGCCUAACACAUGCAAGUCGAACGGUAGCACAGAGAGCUUGCUCUCGGGUGACGAGUGGCGGACGGGUGAGUAAUGUCUGGGAAACUGCCUGAUGGAGGGGGAUAACUACUGGAAACGGUGGCUAAUA
Molecule: ribosomal RNA, 172 nt
Filed under: Salmonella enterica subsp. enterica serovar Infantis
Lineage: Bacteria; Pseudomonadati; Pseudomonadota; Gammaproteobacteria; Enterobacterales; Enterobacteriaceae
Also listed under: 6 other names
Description: partial 16S ribosomal RNA
Rfam family: Bacterial small subunit ribosomal RNA
Source: RNAcentral